UUGAAAGGGAAACGAUUGAAGUCAGUCGUACCAGCGGGAAUCAACCUUUCGAGUGGUGUUUUGGAGUUUUGAAGUGUGUCAAAACCUUUGAGAUUUUAAAAUUUUCGCUCUUUUGGUGUACUUUCUCGUGGGUAGGUUAACAUCGAUUUUGAUCAUCAUAAAAAGACUGGAGGAAUGUAGCUUCGAUCUUGUAUUGAAGUGUUAUAGCCUUUGGUAAAUGUGAUGAUUAGGAUCGAGGAUUGCAACGAAUACCCUUUUGGGCUAUCCGCCUGAUCUCUGAUACGUGGCCUUGGUAUCGAAAGCUUGCUUAUGGUAUUAAGGUAUUACGGUCAAAAGGUUAGAACGGAUUACAUUCGUUAAGGAUGUUGACGUA
This 373-nucleotide ribosomal RNA is filed under the name uncultured Glomeromycotina. RNAcentral's name for it is "LSU rRNA". The record is from RNAcentral. Lineage: Eukaryota; Fungi; Glomeromycota.